RNAcentral lists this ribosomal RNA (406 nucleotides) under Cormocephalus sp. CES091312. Its description in RNAcentral is "partial 16S ribosomal RNA". The stretch from base 279 to 406 matches the Rfam family "Bacterial large subunit ribosomal RNA", at positions 2473 to 2600 of the family's 2925-position model. The record is from RNAcentral. Lineage: Eukaryota; Metazoa; Arthropoda; Chilopoda; Scolopendromorpha; Scolopendridae.
AUAAUUAGGUUAUUUAUUGUGAUCUUGAAUGAAGGGUUUGACGUAGGAAAUUCUUUCUUAUUGUUAUAUAUGAAAUUGAAUUACUAGUAAUAAUGCUAGUUUUAUUUAUUAAACGAGAAGACCCUAUUAAGUUUGAUAUAUGUUGUUUUGUUUUUUAGAUUUAUUUAGAUAAAUUUAUAUUUUGCUGGGGCGGUUAAUUUUAAAUUUACAUUAUUAGUAUCUUAUUAUAUAAAAUUAUUGAUCCAUUAUUAGUGAUUAUUAGAUUAAAUUACUAUAGGGAUAACAGCAUAAUUGUAUUGAAGAGUUCUUAUUGAUAAUACAGUUUAUGACCUCGAUGUUGAAUCAAGAAUUUCUUGAAGGUGUAGAUGUUUUUUUAGAUAGUCUGUUCGACUAUUAAUAUUUUACG